UGAGGGGGGCUGCUCCUAGUACGAGAGGACCGGAGUGGACGCAUCACUGGUGUUCGGGUUGUCAUGCCAAUGGCACUGCCCGGUAGCUAAAUGCGGAAGAGAUAAGUGCUGAAAGCAUCUAAGCACGAAACUUGCCCCGAGAUGAGUUCUCCCUGAGACUUAAAGUCUCCUGAAGGAACGUUGAAGACGACGACGUUGAUAGGCCGGGUGUGUAAGCGCAGCGAUGCGUUGAGCUAACCGGUACUAAUGAACCGUGAGGCUUAACCUUACAACGCCGAAG
This 280-nucleotide ribosomal RNA is filed under the name Salmonella enterica. Its description in RNAcentral is "partial 23S ribosomal RNA". It matches the Rfam family "Bacterial large subunit ribosomal RNA", at positions 2663 to 2925 of the family's 2925-position model. The record is from RNAcentral. Lineage: Bacteria; Pseudomonadati; Pseudomonadota; Gammaproteobacteria; Enterobacterales; Enterobacteriaceae. RNAcentral also lists the same sequence under 1 other name.